Molecule: long non-coding RNA, 411 nt
Filed under: Equus caballus (horse)
Lineage: Eukaryota; Metazoa; Chordata; Mammalia; Perissodactyla; Equidae
Description: lncRNA (ENSECAG00000056767.1)
Source: RNAcentral
GUCGUGGGCAGGCAGCAACUACAGACCGGACCAGCAAUUCUCUGAAAUGAAAUUAUGGACUGUUAUAGAUGAAAAGGAUCUUAGCGGUCAUCCAUUUUAUCCAACCCUCUCACUCUAAGGAGGAAACUGAGGCACGGAGAUGUGAAGUGCUCUGCUCUUGGCCACCCAGGGAGCAGAGGAGCUAGAACCGGAACCCAGGCAUUUCCGGCCGGCCUCUCCUCUGAACUGACCUCUCCUCUGAUGGCUGGUGGCACUGACCACCUGUGCUGCUCAUUUGGCCUUUAGCAUCCACUGUCCAGGCUGCUCUUCUAUGUCCACUUGUUAUUUCUCCAACUAGAUUGCCAGCUACCUGGGUUUCACCUAUCCCCUACCGUCCCAGUAAGGCCAAGCCACAACCUCGUGAGUAUAGCC